GCUCCUGGAACCACAAUUCUCGGUUCUCAUACGAUGAUGUUGGGGUGCCCUUCCUUCCGUAUUACAUUUUUUCUCGUGAUCCAGCUAAUUCUUAUCAGCAUGAGCAGCCUCAUUGCCCCAGCAGCCUCGAGACCCGCUGGAUGUAAGUGCUAAACUAAAUAUUUGUUUUUACUAUAAUUUUUACAGAAGUAUGUAUUGUAACCUUGGACGACAAGCUGAUCCAAGGUUAUGGAUUUUGAUCUCCGAGUUUUUACAUGCAUUUGAUCAAGAGCAGAGACAGAGAUAAUAGAUUGAUGGUUUGUUUGAAUCACCCUAGGUUUGAAAUCUGUCCAUGACAUGUCUCUACUUUCAUAAUUAAGCACCUCUCUUACACUUUCACCUCUCCGGGCUCUCUAUAUAGAAUAAUAUCAACCAAUGCUAUGUUUGGGUGAGGCUUUUAAGGUGUCACAAAUCUGUUUAUACCACUAAAAGGUAGGACUAACCCAUCAACAUUUAGCAACAUGGGUUGAAACUAGAAAACUAGUGAGGCUCCUUUUAGGGCUAAUGCCCUCAAGUACUUACCCCAAAUAACGGCACAUAAAGUACCGAGGAUCUCUCGGUGUAAUAGUGAUCAUGCCUUAUCACCUCACAAUAGUAAUGUUAAUUUUCCUCCGUUGUUCCAAACCUCAUGUUAAAGUUUAGGUCUUUCUUUCCUUUCUUGAACUAACAUGCAAGUUGCAAAAAUGAAAAAAAACAUUUGUUUAUGGAACAAAUUUAUGUUUUAUUUUGUAUCAUGUAAAUAAAUUGAGACAAAGUCUGAAGUAUUGUAAAGAGUGUAUAUAUAGAUGACAUAUUUUCCUUUUGGAUCUUGGUGCAGGCAGUUGGGGCCCCUUUUUAACUACAUGCCCAAGAGACCCUCCAGUAACGAGCUGCCCUCGGCCGCCCUGUCGACAUGGCUGAUCCAUGAAUAUAUGAAUUUAUACAGGUGUCAUUGAUAAUCGCGUCAAUAGAUUCGAUGUUUUCCAAAUUUCAUGUUAUACGGGUUGUUGUCUUGUCUCAAAUUAAAUAUGUACGUUACGUACAAUCCUAUAUCACUUCUUGCGUUGAUGUAUAUAUCAAUAAAUCAUUUUUUAGAGACGUAUCAAUAUUUGAUCACUUCAUAUACGUAAAAUCUAUCUCCACUUUCAAAUUAAUAUAUGUGAACUCUACUCUUAAUAUUAUUAUCUAAUACUCAGAGGCUUAUAUCUAUACUCACAUAUAUAAAAUCUAUCUUAUAUGUAAUAUCUUUUUAAGGUACUUUUCAGACCGUGUAACCAAAUGGUACAUUUAAAAUAUCAUAGGCCUGUAACUAUGCGUGAGGAGGAAAUUCACGCUCAAAGUAUGAGCUCAAGAGAACCCUCCAGCAGUACGUUGUUAAGGUGAACUGGUCUUCCAUCUUGGUGCUUUUGUUCUUGUUGACUUUAGAUCCGGGACUAAAGUGCUUUUAGUCCCGGUUCAAAAAUAACCCACCGAAGGCCACCGAGGGGUGGGACUUUAGUCCCGGUUGUAACGGCUAAAAAAUCUAGCAUCGACACCCCCUGUCCCGGUUGGAAAUUCCAACCGGGACAAAAGGCCCUCCCCC
Molecule: long non-coding RNA, 1600 nt
Filed under: Setaria italica (foxtail millet)
Lineage: Eukaryota; Viridiplantae; Streptophyta; Magnoliopsida; Poales; Poaceae
Description: long non-coding RNA (SITA_LNC006078)
Source: RNAcentral